UUUUUAGUCAGUCUGCAAUAAGAAUGUAAAAUUUUUUAUAGGCACUAGGAAUAUAUGUUGGUAUUGUUAAAGGCUGUGGAAUGUCAAAGAGACUAAUCGAGAAAUGCAUCGACUCUGUUGUUUAGAAGUGUUAAUUAAGGGUGAUGAAUAUCUGAAAUGAACAUUAUCACGCAAAAAAGAGUGACAUCAAGAAAUCAAACCAAGUCCACGAACCAGAACUUCAUACGAAACUCUUCAAUUCAAUUGGGAAUGAACAGACACUUUUUGGAGCAUCAAUGUAGCUGACAAAAUGCAUUACUACGUAUUGAUUUGGAACGAAUACGAAAUUCAAAAAGAACAUUGUUGAUGGAGCAAUCGCCUAGAAGUACGAAUUUCGAUACAUUUCGAUACAACUGAUAGCUCGUAAUGUUCAUUCGCAACGUAUAGAAGUGCGAAUUUCGAUACAACUGAUAGCUCGUAAUGUUCAUUCGCAACGUAUAGAAGUGAGAAUUUCGAUACAACUGAUAGCUCGUAAUGUUCAUUCGCAACGUAAACAAGUGCGAAUUUCGAUAAAACUAAUAACUCGUAAUGUUCCUUCACAACGUAUAGAAGUGGCAUUUCGAUACAACUGAUAGCUCGUAAUGUUCAUUCGCAACGUAUAGAGUUGCGAACUUCGAUACAACUGAUAGCUCGUAAUGUUCAUUCGCAACGUAUAUAAGUGCGAAUUUGUGUACAACUGAUAGCUCGUAAUGUUCGUUCGCAACGCAUAGAAGAAGUACGAACUUCGAUACGAUUGAUAGGUCGUAAUACUAUUUCAUCCCUAAUCUCAGCUCGAAAAAAACACAACAACUUCUUUCACGAAAUGUUCAGUAGAAGAUAAAGAUGAUGCUUCCGGAAUUAAAAAAUCGACCCGUGGAGACCAUUGACUUUGUUUUACAUUUGUGAAUAUAUAAUAUACAUACACUUCAUUUGAACUGUGUCGUUUUGAGUAACUGAUUGCCCCUUGCAAAUUGCUUUGCCAAUUGCGAGAGAACCUAAACGAUUUUAUAUUAACAAGUGUGAAUAAUUACAGGAAAAACCUAAGAAUAUGAAAGUCUUUUGCCCGCAAACGUGGGAAUAAACUUU
This is a long non-coding RNA of Hydractinia symbiolongicarpus, 1104 nucleotides long. RefSeq lists it as uncharacterized. The transcript is spliced from 4 exons. Lineage: Eukaryota; Metazoa; Cnidaria; Hydrozoa; Anthoathecata; Hydractiniidae. The record is from RefSeq and is a predicted model, not a curated record.